AAAAUGUAAAUGAGAUAAUAAGCUCCAUUGCAACAAUGUGGGUGAAUUACAGCUGGAGAAAGGGAAAACUCAUUUGAUUUAUUUCUAAAAAUGGAAAGGUUCCUAAAAUAAAAUCACAUUGUUUGGGUCUCACACAGCAUCGAGAGGCACGGGAAGGAGGGAAGGGAAAAGUGACGGCUUUGAGAAGGCGCCGCUGGAAUAUUCUGGCAGAUUUUGGGGACCUGGAGUGGAAUUUGGGGAUGAAUCCAUCCCAGUCACGGGGAUCCAGAGCCACUGGACACUGAUGUGGAAGGAGAAAGGAACCUCUGAGCUGCACGUCUGGGCAACACUUACUUCAGUUUCCUGAGAAUAAAUUCCAUAGACAGACCCCUGAAGAAGAAAACAGGUGAACUCUUUGCCCCAUAAAUCAGUCAGGCUUCCUGAAGAGGCCAAAGAUACAAAACUACAGAUGCCUGCACAGAAACACUUCAGAAAAAGCUUCAGCCUUGAAGUUCACAGUCUUCUCCAUAAGCCUCAAGCCCUCAGUCUUCCUCAUGAAUAUUUUUAAGGGUCAACAAAUCAAAUAUUUACUGAGUUAGAUCCUGUUCAUCAGUGAAUCAAGACAUGAUGGUGCAAGAAUCAGCAACAGUGAACUACUCCCAGGAAAGGCAUCCCACUCUCCAAUGCAGGAUGGACAUGAAAUCCACAUGUAACAAGCUUGGAUAAUAAAGUACAUUUUCAAUAAAACUAAUCCAGCUUUCCUUCUCAUUACACAGACACGUGCUGUAUGAACACAGAGAGGCAAGUUCCUUGGGCUGAAAGGCAGUGAGGGGUACAAACAGAAAAUAUUCUCUGCACAAAUUUUAGUGGGAAAAGGAGCAGAGUACAACACACAGAACAGACUUGCUCCUGCUUCUGGACUCCAGUGCUACUUUGGCUGCCAACAGUACACAAAAUUUCCACUGAAGGGCAAGUCAAACCAAUUUCCCUGAGGAUGGAGGCAUCCGAAAACUCGCUGAGGUUAUUCCAUUAGUGCCUACGCAUUCUCUAAGCGGAUGAGCAGCUUCACUUUGAAUCCAUGUCAAACCACAAGGACUGGCUGAUAAUAACAUUCAAUUAAAAUGAUUUCACCCCCCCAGAAAAAACUGGCUAACAGCUCCACCUCACCUUUUCUAGCUGGGCACAAUGGGGCGAUUGAUGCUGCAAGGAAACGGGAUAGGUUUGUGCCGAGGAGCCGCCGGGUCAGGUUUGGUGACAGUGUUUGUAGGUUUAACCUCUUACCCAAAUCUCCGAGAUGAAAAAGCCACUUCUGCUCAGCACACAACUGUGAGAAAGUCAGAGCUAGAGCUGGCAAACACCGAGCUGAGCUAAUUAGACAGGUGUUUUGAAAAACCCCAAGCUUCACGCUCGACGCGCAUUUGGACCUUUUGAUGUUGUAUCUGGUGCUGUUUCACACCACUGGGGCUCCAGAGAAAGGCAGGAGCUGCUCCCCUGCUCAGCUCUGGGGUGAGUUUGCCAUCUGAUCUGCUGGAUACACAGAUAAAAGUCACCGCAGACUUUUUUUCCCUUUUCAAGUGCAGCCCUUAACUUGGAAAGUUUCUUUUAUUCGCAGCUCCGCUGACGUAAGGAAGUGGCAGGAACAUGGCAGCUUUGGCUGCUUUCCUUUUGUAGCUCUUUGUAAGUAAUCUUUUAAUGCUAACAAAACAAUAGGUAUUUUCAUUUUGGAUGGAAAAAACAUUCCAUUUUAUAGAAAAUUAAACCAAUGCCUUUCAAAAAGUCUAAGAGUGCAACUGGCCACUUGAUUCUUCUCCUACCCUGCCUUUAAAUAUUGGUAAAUAGUUACCAUGCACAGGCAUCAGAUUCUCCAGGUUUCUCUUGUUACACUUAAGAAAAGCCCAACUAUUAGGAAAAUCGUGAAGUUUAACAAAGAUAUUUCUAUUUCCCUGUGAUCUGCCAUUCAAAAGUGUUAGCCAGCCAUUUUUUAAAAAACACUCUUGAUAUUUGAUCUUCUUGAGUUUCAGUUACAUAUAAAGCUGGAGAGCCAGCAGAAAAUUCUAAGUGGAAUCUGAAGAUUUCUAAAGUCAACACUCAUUUUGGCAGCAGCAUUUUAAUGCACAAAGCUGAAAUCCUCAGUGACUCUCUCCUGCUGAUACCCCUGGAGCAGCCAGCACAAAACCAAAAGCAACCUACAGCAGAACAUACGAAAAAAAAAAGGAUGUGGACACAAACACUGGAAGUGGUGUGGGCACAACGGGAUCAGCCAGGGCAACCUGGUGCUGCUCCAGCUCGCCCCUGGGACGAGCCACGGCGCAAGAGAGAUGUCUCAGGGAAAAGAGAUGUUGAUAACAAAGCAGAUCCACAUCCCCAAAGCCCUGCUUGCCAAACCCUGCAGCUCUCCUUGCUGUGCCAGCCUUUAAAACCCCUCAGUGAGGAGUUAUGAGCGUUUGUGGCCCGCGGAAGGUUUGCUUUGAAGGCGUCGCUCUCCCCAGCACCCUUUUGCUGGUGGGACCCGUGGCUCACACAGAUUGUGUUUCCACCUCCACGGCUGCAGGAGCCCUGCAGCCAAGGCUGUUCCAGGAGCAGGGAAGGAGGCUGCGUUCCAGGAACUCACUGGAACUGGAACAAAGCACAGCCCUUGGAAAGCCUACACAGCCCUGUGCACAGACUGUUUUACAGAUGCCCUGUCUUUGGACGGCUUUAGACACUUGUUUUUAUCUUUAUCUUUUUUUUUUUUUU
Prinia subflava (tawny-flanked prinia) is the source of this 2715-nucleotide long non-coding RNA. RefSeq lists it as uncharacterized. The transcript is spliced from 2 exons. NCBI's taxonomy places the organism in Eukaryota, Metazoa, Chordata, Aves, Passeriformes, Cisticolidae. The record is from RefSeq and is a predicted model, not a curated record.